This 382-nucleotide ribosomal RNA is filed under the name Craugastor podiciferus (Cerro Utyum robber frog). Its description in RNAcentral is "partial 12S ribosomal RNA". It matches the Rfam family "Bacterial small subunit ribosomal RNA", at positions 794 to 1385 of the family's 1533-position model. The record is from RNAcentral. Lineage: Eukaryota; Metazoa; Chordata; Amphibia; Anura; Craugastoridae.
GCCCAACCGUAAACUUUUAUUUACAACCCCAACCGCCAGAAGACUACGAGCCCUGCUUAAAACUCAAAGGACUUGACGGUAUUCCAUAUCCGACUAGAGGAGCCUGUCCUGUCAUCGAUAACCCCCGCUAAACCUCACCCCUUUUAGCCUCUCAGCCUGUAUACUUCCGUCACCAAUUCACCACAUGAGCGCAACUCAGUGAUUGACCCCGCCUAACCCGCAUAAACGUCAGGUCAAAGUGCAGCAAAUAAAGCGGGAAGAGAUGGGCUACAUUCUCUAACAUAGAACAUACGAAAGACUAAUAUGAAAUCUAGUCAAGAAGGCGGAUUUAGAAGUAAGGGGGGAAUAGAGAGCCCCCCUUAACCAGGCACUGGAAUGUGUA